RNAcentral lists this ribosomal RNA (253 nucleotides) under uncultured bacterium. RNAcentral's name for it is "partial 16S ribosomal RNA". It matches the Rfam family "Bacterial small subunit ribosomal RNA", at positions 524 to 776 of the family's 1533-position model. The record is from RNAcentral.
GACAGAGGGGGCAAGCGUUGCUCGGAAUUACUGGGCGUCAAGGGCGCGUAGGCGGGAUGGCAAGUCGGUCGUGAAAUCCCUCGGCUCAACCGAGGAACGUCGAUCGAUACUGCUGUUCUUGAGGAUUGCAGAGGAGACUGGAAUUCCCGGUGUAGCGGUGAAAUGUGUAGAGAUCGGGAGGAACACCGGUGGCGAAGGCGGGUCUCUGGGCAAUUCCUGACGCUGAGGCGCGAAAGCGUGGGGAGCAAACGGG